ACAUUAUUGGCUGGGGUACUAAUUGUGCUUGGAGUCCUCAGGAAACGCUAGGAGCAUCCUUUAAUGGAGAUCCGUUACAGAGCCACUCCAUCACGGAAUGUGAACUUUAGGCAACAUUAUGCAAAUAUGGAAACAAGCACAGACCACCAUACUCACGGGCUCAGCAAGAGACAGCAGCCUACAGGUUAACACAGCCUACUUAAGACCUAAUGUCCUCGGACUCACGCUGG
This is a non-coding RNA of Pelobates cultripes (western spadefoot toad), 230 nucleotides long. The record is from the annotation of a GenBank genome assembly. Lineage: Eukaryota; Metazoa; Chordata; Amphibia; Anura; Pelobatidae.